This 86-nucleotide transfer RNA is filed under the name Rhodococcus phage Trina. Its description in RNAcentral is "tRNA-Leu". It matches the Rfam family "tRNA". Rfam says of the family: Transfer RNA (tRNA) molecules are approximately 80 nucleotides in length. Their secondary structure includes four short double-helical elements and three loops (D, anti-codon, and T loops). Further hydrogen bonds mediate the characteristic L-shaped molecular structure. tRNAs have two regions of fundamental functional importance: the anti-codon, which is responsible for specific mRNA codon recognition, and the 3' end, to which the tRNAs corresponding amino acid is attached (by aminoacyl-tRNA synthetases). tRNAs cope with the degeneracy of the genetic code in two manners: having more than one tRNA (with a specific anti-codon) for a particular amino acid; and 'wobble' base-pairing, i.e. permitting non-standard base-pairing at the 3rd anti-codon position. The record is from RNAcentral. Lineage: Duplodnaviria; Heunggongvirae; Uroviricota; Caudoviricetes.
GGCAUCUUGGCGGAAUGGCAGACGCGCUGGUUUCAAAAACCAGUCUGAGUGAUCAGGUGAGGGUUCGAGUCCCUCAGGUGCUACCA